This 415-nucleotide ribosomal RNA is filed under the name uncultured microorganism. RNAcentral describes it as "bacterial SSU rRNA". It matches the Rfam family "Bacterial small subunit ribosomal RNA", at positions 9 to 429 of the family's 1533-position model. The record is from RNAcentral.
GAGUUUGAUCAUGGCUCAGAUUGAACGCUGGCGGCAUGCCUUACACAUGCAAGUCGAACGGUAACAGGUCUUCGGAUGCUGACGAGUGGCGAACGGGUGAGUAAUACAUCGGAACGUGCCCGAUCGUGGGGGAUAACGAGGCGAAAGCUUUGCUAAUACCGCAUACGAUCUACGGAUGAAAGCGGGGAUCUUCGGACCUCGCGCGGACGGAGCGGCCGAUGGCAGAUUAGGUAGUUGGUGGGAUAAAAGACUUACCAAGCCGACGAUCUGUAGCUGGUCUGAGGGGAUGAUCAGCCACACUGGGACUGAGACACGGCCCAGACUCCUACGGGAGGCAGCAGUGGGGAAUUUUGGACAAUGGGCGAAAGCCUGAUCCAGCCAUGCCGCGUGCAGGAUGAAGGCCUUCGGUUGUAAC